Long non-coding RNA from Amphimedon queenslandica, 90 nucleotides. RefSeq lists it as uncharacterized. Lineage: Eukaryota; Metazoa; Porifera; Demospongiae; Haplosclerida; Niphatidae. The record is from RefSeq and is a predicted model, not a curated record. The transcript has 2 exons.
UAUUAUCCACUCUUUAUUUCCCUUGGCACUACUUAAUGUGACACCAGUAUAUUUCCAGAAUGACAUUCCUGUCCAAUUAUUUUUAGAGAU